GCAUAACGCGAAGAACCUUACCUGGGCUUGAACGGCCGGUGGUACGGACCCGAAGGGCGAGGACCCAGGUUUCCUGGGAGCCGGCAGAGGUGCUGCAUGGCUGUCGUCAGCUCGUGUCGUGAGAUGUUGGGUUAAGUCCCGCAACGAGCGCAAACCCCUCGUGUUUAGUUUGUCCACGCGAGUCAUGUCGGGCGACUCUAAGCAGACUGCCUCGGAUAACGGGGAGGGAAGGUAGGGGAGUGACGUCAAGUCAGCAUGGCCUUUAUGUCCAGGGCCGACACACGUGCUACAAUGGGCGGGUACAGAGGGAGUGCAAAUCCGCAAGGUAGAGCUAAUCCCUAAAACCGUUCUCAGUUCAGAUUGGAGGCUGCAACUCGCCUCCAUGAAGGCGGAAUCGCUAGUAAUCGCGGAGUCAGCUACGCCGCGGUGAAUACGUUCCCGGGUC
This 445-nucleotide ribosomal RNA is filed under the name uncultured bacterium. RNAcentral's name for it is "bacterial SSU rRNA". It matches the Rfam family "Bacterial small subunit ribosomal RNA", at positions 954 to 1380 of the family's 1533-position model. The record is from RNAcentral.